CCUACGGGAGGCUGCAGUGGGGAAUAUUGGACAAUGGGGGGAACCCUGAUCCAGCCAUGCCGCGUGUGUGAAGAAGGCCCUCGGGUUGUAAAGCACUUUCAGUGAGGAAGAACGCCUGGUGGUUAAUACCCAUCAGGAAAGACAUCACUCACAGAAGAAGCACCGGCUAACUCCGUGCCAGCAGCCGCGGUAAUACGGAGGGUGCGAGCGUUAAUCGGAAUUACUGGGCGUAAAGCGCGCGUAGGUGGCUUGAUAAGCCGGUUGUGAAAGCCCCGGGCUCAACCUGGGAACGGCAUCCGGAACUGUCAAGCUAGAGUGCAGGAGAGGAAGGUAGAAUUCCCGGUGUAGAGGUGAAAUGCGUAGAGAUCGGGAGGAAUACCAGUGGCGAAGGCGGCCUUCUGGACUGACACUGACACUGAGGUGCGAAAGCGUGGGUAGCAAACAGGAUUAGAUACCCGAGUAGUC
Molecule: ribosomal RNA, 465 nt
Filed under: Vreelandella stevensii
Lineage: Bacteria; Pseudomonadati; Pseudomonadota; Gammaproteobacteria; Oceanospirillales; Halomonadaceae
Description: partial 16S ribosomal RNA
Rfam family: Bacterial small subunit ribosomal RNA
Source: RNAcentral